Molecule: ribosomal RNA, 778 nt
Filed under: uncultured bacterium
Lineage: Bacteria
Description: bacterial SSU rRNA
Rfam family: Bacterial small subunit ribosomal RNA
Source: RNAcentral
CAGCCCCCUGGGUUAACACUGACGUUCAUGCAAGAAAGCGUGGGGAGCAAACAGGAUUAGAUACCUUGGUAGUCCACGCCCUAAACUAUGUCAACUGGUUGUCGGGGAAGCAAUUCUUUGGUAACGAAGCUAACGCGUGAAGUUGACCGCCUGGGGAGUACGGCCGCAAGGUUAAAACUCAAAGGAAUUGACGGGGACCCGCACAAGCGGUGGAUUAUGUGGAUUAAUUCGAUGCAACGCGAAAAACCUUACCUACCCUUGACAUGCCAGGAACCUCGCAGAGAUGUGAGGGUGCCCGAAAGGGAACCUGGACACAGGUGCUGCAUGGCUGUCGUCAGCUCGUGUCGUGAGAUGUUGGGUUAAGUCCCGCAACGAGCGCAACCCUUGCCAUUAGUUGCCACAUUCAGUUGGGCACUCUAAUGGGACUGCCGGUGACAAACCGGAGGAAGGUGGGGAUGACGUCAAGUCCUCAUGGCCCUUAUGGGUAGGGCUUCACACGUAAUACAAUGGCCGGUACAGAGGGCAGCCAACUCGCGAGAGGGAGCUAAUCCCAGAAAGCCGGUCGUAGUCCGGAUUGCAGUCUGCAACUCGACUGCAUGAAGCCGGAAUCGCUAGUAAUCGCGGAUCAGCAUGUCGCGGUGAAUACGUUCCCGGGUCUUGUACACACCGCCCGUCACACCAUGGGAGUGGGUUUCACCAGAAGUAGUUAGCCUAACCGCAAGGAGGGCGACUACCACGGUGAGAUUCAUGACUGGGGUGAAGUCGUGACAAGGUAACC